Molecule: ribosomal RNA, 509 nt
Filed under: uncultured bacterium
Lineage: Bacteria
Description: partial 16S ribosomal RNA
Rfam family: Bacterial small subunit ribosomal RNA
Source: RNAcentral
AUUGAACGCUGGCGGCAUGCCUUACACAUGCAAGUCGAACGGCAGCGGGGGAGAAGCUUGCUUUUCCUGCCGGCGAGUGGCGAACGGGUGAGUAAUACAUCGGAACGUGCCCUGUAGUGGGGGAUAACUAGUCGAAAGAUUAGCUAAUACCGCAUACGACCUGAGGGGUAAAGUGGGGGACCGCAAGGCCUCAUGCUGUAGGAGCGGCGCAUGUAUGCGUAGCUAUUUGGUGGGGUAAAGGCCUACCAAGGCGACGAUCAGUAGCUGGUGCUGAGAGGACGAUCAGGCACACUGGGACUGAGAAACGGCCCAGACUCCUAGGGGAGGCAGCAGUGGGGAAUUUUGGACAAUGGGCGAAAGCCUGAUCCAGCAAUGCCGCGUGUGUGAAGAAGGCCUUCGGGUCGUAAAGCACUUUUGUCCGGAAAGAAAUGGCUCUGGUUAAUACCUGGGGUCGAUGACGGUACCGGAAGAAUAAGGACCGGCUAACUACGUGCCAGCAGCCGCCGUAA